CCCUAAAUGAAACAGCCAACCUGCCCGCCCGCGAUUAUAUAAAGGAGUCGCCUCCGCCCGCUGCGCCAGGGGCGUAGCGGGGGAAGGGGUUGGCGAGGGGCGGGCUGGGCUGUUGUUUUCCUGGCUUUCCAAGUUCCCCUACCCAACUGCGGGCCACUGGGCGGGACAGGGACCCGGCUGCGGACGCCUGGGUCCUGCGGUCCGCUCCCGCAAGGGUCUUCGUGGCUCAGGAGGGGCGGAGGUGGGGAGCGGGGAGGCGUUGCCUCAGCCCAACUUUUUUUCCCUGUCCAUUUCUCCCACUUCCUCCCCGGUCGUGGGAGAGGUCCGGCGGGGGACGGGAGAGCGGGAGGAGGGGACGAGUGGUGAGAACAGCCUGACCCGGCCCGGCCAGCUGCCCGCUGCACACAGUAGGCGCCCGGGGAGGGCCGGCUAGUGCGAUCAGCCGCUUGAGGGUCUCUGAGCCUCAGUUUCCCCUUCCUUAUUCCCUUGGUCGGAAAGGCUGGCACCUGCUUCAUAGUUGUCGUUUACUGCGCACUUCUAGAGUGGCUGGCUCUGUCCGGGGUCCUGUUUACCUCCAUUCUAACAUCUAAUGCCAUUAUCAUGAUCAUUCUUUAUUAUCAUUAUCAUUUUUACCACCAUUACCUUACAGGCAGGAAACUUCCACUGCCUUGGGUGAAAUGCACCCAGUCUGUCCUUCUCUGACUUCAAAGCUUACUUCCCCCCCACCCCCCAAACUCCUGCCCUUUAUUGCCUCUUCACACAUGUAUUAAAAGUGCCUUUCAACUCCCAACGGGUUGAAUUGGCUUUUGUAAUAAUAAUUGGCUUCAAGGGGAAACCCGGGAGGCCCCCAGAAGGGAAGUGACAGCCCCAGGACUUGCAGCCUGAAACCAGCCCCGGGAAAUUGAGGCCCAGAGAGGGACCGUGUGCAAGGAUGUCAACUCUAGCUUCCUCUGGCUCUGGACCCUGCCAGAGGGGCUGCAGAUGGAUCCUUCAGGAAACUCAGGAAUGACAUAUCCCUCCUUCAUGGCCACUCCUGCCCCUGCAGUGAAAAGAGAGGGAGAGGGGCAAAGCUUUGUCCUGACCCUCACUCUUUAGUCCCUACCCUCUCCUCACCCCUCAGAAGAUACCCAAAUAGAUACUAUUUUAAAACCUAAUAAAGCAUAUAAAUUUGA
Vicugna pacos (alpaca) is the source of this 1172-nucleotide non-coding RNA. NCBI's taxonomy places the organism in Eukaryota, Metazoa, Chordata, Mammalia, Artiodactyla, Camelidae. The record is from RefSeq and is a predicted model, not a curated record.